CCAGUUUCGGGAGUUUCCUACAAACACUGAGUUUAGCAGAGCUGUUUCUUUUCUUUGACGGAUUUCCCCGGGAUGGGUUUACUGUAUGAGAAUUUUUUUUCUGCCUCCCAACGCCUCCUGUGAAGAUCAAUUUGUGUACAGCAUGUAUUUUGUACACUUGAUACUCCUCAUAGCAUAGUGGAAGGAUUUAUCAGUUUACCGGAACCUCAUUUCUGAGUGAAAGGUACCUUACUUCGUUUUCAGAUGAGAUCAGUCAUUAGAUUGUCUAGUUUUCUUUCACAAUACUUGCAAAUGAUACAUGGAUCUUCUAACAAUACAAUCUAGUCUCUUUUCCAGUAAUAGUUCAUGGUGCAUGUGUUAUUUCUGAUAUCAAUGAUGUUUCUUUUAUCUUUGGUCUUGGAAUUUAAAGGCUCUUGAUAAAUUGCAUUUUGCUCCUUUUACUAAAAAACAGGUAAAUUAAUUUUUGUAUGGUA
RNAcentral lists this long non-coding RNA (473 nucleotides) under Gossypium barbadense (sea-island cotton). Its description in RNAcentral is "long non-coding RNA (GBAR_LNC016629)". The record is from RNAcentral. Lineage: Eukaryota; Viridiplantae; Streptophyta; Magnoliopsida; Malvales; Malvaceae.